Molecule: ribosomal RNA, 119 nt
Filed under: Lepisosteus oculatus (spotted gar)
Lineage: Eukaryota; Metazoa; Chordata; Actinopteri; Semionotiformes; Lepisosteidae
Source: RNAcentral
GCCAGCAGCCAUAUCACCCUGCAACUCGCAACUAGUAACCCACUGAAGCUAAGCAGGUGUGAGGCUGGUUAGUUCCUGGAUGGGAGACCUCCUGGGAAAAACCAACGUUGAUGCUGGGA